This 603-nucleotide ribosomal RNA is filed under the name uncultured bacterium. Its description in RNAcentral is "bacterial SSU rRNA". It matches the Rfam family "Bacterial small subunit ribosomal RNA", at positions 338 to 941 of the family's 1533-position model. The record is from RNAcentral.
CCUACGGGAGGCAGCAGUGGGGAAUAUUGGACAAUGGGCGAAAGCCUGAUCCAGCAAUUCCGCGUGUGUGAAGAAGGCCUUCGGGUUGUAAAGCACUUUAGUGGGGGAAGAAACAGCUUGGCCACACCAAGCCUUGACGGUACCCCAAGAAUAAGCACCGGCUAACUCUGUGCCAGCAGCCGCGGUAAUACAGAGGGUGCAAGCGUUAAUCGGAUUUACUGGGCGUAAAGGGUGCGUAGGUGGCUAUUUAAGUCGGAUGUGAAAGCCCGGGGCUCAACCUCGGAAUUGCAUUCGAUACUGAGUGGCUAGAGUUCGGUAGAGGGCGGCGGAAUUUCCGGUGUAGCGGUGAAAUGCGUAGAUAUCGGAAGGAACAUCAAUGGCGAAGGCAGCCGCCUGGGCCUGGACUGACACUGAGGCACGAAAGCGUGGGUAGCAAACAGGAUUAGAUACCCUGGUAGUCCACGCCGUAAACGAUGAGAACUUGACGUUGGUUCGUUUUACGAAUCGGUGUCGCAGCUAACGCGAUAAGUUCUCCGCCUGGGGAUACGGCCGCAAGGUUGAAACUCAAGAUGCGNNGAGAGNGCGACGACGACGAGAGGAGAG